RNAcentral lists this ribosomal RNA (653 nucleotides) under Cohnella thermotolerans. Its description in RNAcentral is "bacterial SSU rRNA". It matches the Rfam family "Bacterial small subunit ribosomal RNA", at positions 75 to 713 of the family's 1533-position model. The record is from RNAcentral. Lineage: Bacteria; Bacillati; Bacillota; Bacilli; Caryophanales; Paenibacillaceae.
GGAGCUUGCUCCCGCGAAGGUUAGCGGCGGACGGGUGAGUAACACGUAGGCAACCUGCCCGCAAGACCGGGAUAACAUUCGGAAACGAAUGCUAAGACCGGAUACGCAAGAGGGAGGCAUCUUCCUGUUGGGAAACACGGAGCAAUCUGUGGCUUGCGGAUGGGCCUGCGGCGCAUUAGCUAGUUGGUGGGGUAACGGCUCACCAAGGCGACGAUGCGUAGCCGACCUGAGAGGGUGAACGGCCACACUGGGACUGAGACACGGCCCAGACUCCUACGGGAGGCAGCAGUAGGGAAUCUUCCACAAUGGGCGCAAGCCUGAUGGAGCAACGCCGCGUGAGUGAGGAAGGCCUUCGGGUCGUAAAGCUCUGUUGCCAGGGAAGAAUAAGGGUGAGGUGACUACUCACCCGAUGACGGUACCUGAGAAGAAAGCCCCGGCUAACUACGUGCCAGCAGCCGCGGUAAUACGUAGGGGGCGAGCGUUGUCCGGAAUUAUUGGGCGUAAAGCGCGCGCAGGCGGUUUCUUAAGUCUGGUGUUUAAGUGCGGGGCUCAACCCCGUGACGCACUGGAAACUGGGAGACUUGAGUGCAGGAGAGGAGAGCGGAAUUCCACGUGUAGCGGUGAAAUGCGUAGAGAUGUGGAGGAACACCAGU